CCUACGGGAGGCAGCAGUCGGGAAUAUUGCGCAAUGGAGGAAACUCUGACGCAGUGACGCCGCGUGCAGGAAGAAGGUUUUCGGAUUGUAAACUGCUUUAGACAGGGAAGAAAAAAGACAGUACCUGUAGAAUAAGCUCCGGCUAACUACGUGCCAGCAGCCGCGGUAAUACGUAGGGAGCAAGCGUUAUCAGGCUUUAUUGGGUGUAACGGGUGCGUAGACGGGAAACCAAGUUAGUUGUGAAAUCCGUCUGCUUAACUGAGGAACUGCAACGAAAACUAUUUUUAUUGAGUGCUGGAGAGUAAAGUGGAAGUCCAAGUGUAGCGGUGAAAUGCGGAGAUAUUAGGAGGAACACCAGUGGCGAAGGCGACUUUCUGGUCAGUAACUGACGUUGAGGCACGAAAGUGUGGGGAGCAAACAGGAUUAGAUACCCUAGUAGUC
Molecule: ribosomal RNA, 441 nt
Filed under: uncultured bacterium
Lineage: Bacteria
Description: partial 16S ribosomal RNA
Rfam family: Bacterial small subunit ribosomal RNA
Source: RNAcentral